This 2906-nucleotide ribosomal RNA is filed under the name Serratia nevei. RNAcentral's name for it is "23S ribosomal RNA". It matches the Rfam family "Bacterial large subunit ribosomal RNA". Lineage: Bacteria; Pseudomonadati; Pseudomonadota; Gammaproteobacteria; Enterobacterales; Yersiniaceae. The record is from RNAcentral.
GGUUAAGUGACUAAGCGUACACGGUGGAUGCCUAGGCAGUCAGAGGCGAUGAAGGGCGUGCUAAUCUGCGAAAAGCGUCGGUAAGGUGAUAUGAACCGUUACAACCGGCGAUACCCGAAUGGGGAAACCCAGUGUGUUUCGACACACUAUCAUGUCAUGAAUACAUAGUGGCAUGAGGCGAACCGGGGAACUGAAACAUCUAAGUACCCCGAGGAAAAGAAAUCAACCGAGAUUCCCCAGUAGCGGCGAGCGAACGGGGAGGAGCCCAGAACCUGAAUCGGCUUGUGUGUUAGUGGAAGCGUCUGGAAAGUCGCGCAGCAAAGGGUGAUAGCCCCGUACACUAAAAUGCACAGGUCGUGAGUUCGAUGAGUAGGGCGGGACACGUGACAUCCUGUCUGAAUAUGGGGGGACCAUCCUCCAAGGCUAAAUACUCCUGACUGACCGAUAGUGAACCAGUACCGUGAGGGAAAGGCGAAAAGAACCCCGGCGAGGGGAGUGAAAUAGAACCUGAAACCGUGUACGUACAAGCAGUGGGAGCACCUUCGUGGUGUGACUGCGUACCUUUUGUAUAAUGGGUCAGCGACUUAUAUUUUGUAGCAAGGUUAACCGUAUGGGGGAGCCGUAGGGAAACCGAGUCUUAACUGGGCGAAUAGUUGCAAGGUAUAGACCCGAAACCCGGUGAUCUAGCCAUGGGCAGGUUGAAGGUUGGGUAACACUAACUGGAGGACCGAACCGACUAAUGUUGAAAAAUUAGCGGAUGACUUGUGGCUGGGGGUGAAAGGCCAAUCAAACCGGGAGAUAGCUGGUUCUCCCCGAAAGCUAUUUAGGUAGCGCCUCGUGAACUCAUCUUCGGGGGUAGAGCACUGUUUCGGCUAGGGGGCCAUCCCGGCUUACCAAACCGAUGCAAACUCCGAAUACCGAAGAAUGUUAUCACGGGAGACACACGGCGGGUGCUAACGUCCGUCGUGAAGAGGGAAACAACCCAGACCGCCAGCUAAGGUCCCAAAGUCAUGGUUAAGUGGGAAACGAUGUGGGAAGGCAUAGACAGCCAGGAUGUUGGCUUAGAAGCAGCCAUCAUUUAAAGAAAGCGUAAUAGCUCACUGGUCGAGUCGGCCUGCGCGGAAGAUGUAACGGGGCUAAACCAUGCACCGAAGCUGCGGCAGCGACGCUUAGGCGUUGUUGGGUAGGGGAGCGUUCUGUAAGCCGUUGAAGGUGGCCUGUGAGGGUUGCUGGAGGUAUCAGAAGUGCGAAUGCUGACAUAAGUAACGAUAAAGCGGGUGAAAAGCCCGCUCGCCGGAAGACCAAGGGUUCCUGUCCAACGUUAAUCGGGGCAGGGUGAGUCGACCCCUAAGGCGAGGCUGAAAAGCGUAGUCGAUGGGAAACAGGUUAAUAUUCCUGUACUUGGUGUUACUGCGAAGGGGGGACGGAGAAGGCUAGGCUAGCCGGGCGACGGUUGUCCCGGUUUAAGCGUGUAGGGGGUGUGACCUGGUAAAUCCGGUUGCAUAUCAACCCUGAGGCGUGAUGACGAUGCACUACGGUGCAGAAGUAGUUGAUGCCCUGCUUCCAGGAAAAGCCUCUAAGCUCUAGGUAACAUUGAAUCGUACCCCAAACCGACACAGGUGGUCAGGUAGAGAAUACCAAGGCGCUUGAGAGAACUCGGGUGAAGGAACUAGGCAAAAUGGUGCCGUAACUUCGGGAGAAGGCACGCUGGCAUGUAGGUGAAGUCCUUCGCGGAUGGAGCUGAAGCCAGUCGAAGAUACCAGCUGGCUGCAACUGUUUAAUAAAAACACAGCACUGUGCAAACACGAAAGUGGACGUAUACGGUGUGACGCCUGCCCGGUGCUGGAAGGUUAAUUGAUGGGGUCAGCCGCAAGGCGAAGCUCUUGAUCGAAGCCCCAGUAAACGGCGGCCGUAACUAUAACGGUCCUAAGGUAGCGAAAUUCCUUGUCGGGUAAGUUCCGACCUGCACGAAUGGCGUAAUGAUGGCCAGGCUGUCUCCACCCGAGACUCAGUGAAAUUGAACUCGCUGUGAAGAUGCAGUGUACCCGCGGCAAGACGGAAAGACCCCGUGAACCUUUACUAUAGCUUGACACUGAACAUUGAGCCUUGAUGUGUAGGAUAGGUGGGAGGCUUUGAAGCGUGGACGCCAGUCUGCGUGGAGCCAUCCUUGAAAUACCACCCUUUAAUGUUUGAUGUUCUAACUCGGCCCCAUAAUCUGGGGUGAGGACAGUGUCUGGUGGGUAGUUUGACUGGGGCGGUCUCCUCCCAAAGAGUAACGGAGGAGCACGAAGGUUAGCUAAUCACGGUCGGACAUCGUGAGGUUAGUGCAAAGGCAUAAGCUAGCUUGACUGCGAGAGUGACGGCUCGAGCAGGUACGAAAGUAGGUCUUAGUGAUCCGGUGGUUCUGAAUGGAAGGGCCAUCGCUCAACGGAUAAAAGGUACUCCGGGGAUAACAGGCUGAUACCGCCCAAGAGUUCAUAUCGACGGCGGUGUUUGGCACCUCGAUGUCGGCUCAUCACAUCCUGGGGCUGAAGUAGGUCCCAAGGGUAUGGCUGUUCGCCAUUUAAAGUGGUACGCGAGCUGGGUUUAGAACGUCGUGAGACAGUUCGGUCCCUAUCUGCCGUGGGCGUUGGAAGAUUGAGAGGGGUUGCUCCUAGUACGAGAGGACCGGAGUGAACGCACCACUGGUGUUCGGGUUGUCAUGCCAAUGGCAUUGCCCGGUAGCUAAGUGCGGAAAAGAUAAGCGCUGAAAGCAUCUAAGCGCGAAACUUGCCUCAAGAUGAGUCUUCCCUGGGCCUUUAAGGUCCCUGAAGGAACGUUUAAGACUAAGACGUUGAUAGGCUGGGUGUGUAAGUGCAGCGAUGCAUUGAGCUAACCAGUACUAAUGAUCCGUGAGGCUUAACCUU